This 4549-nucleotide long non-coding RNA is filed under the name Citrus x clementina. RNAcentral's name for it is "Citrus clementina (C. clementina) long non-coding RNA (CCLE_LNC001875)". Lineage: Eukaryota; Viridiplantae; Streptophyta; Magnoliopsida; Sapindales; Rutaceae. The record is from RNAcentral.
UUUAUCAUCUGACUUCAUCCCAUGAGAUUUUUCUCUAAGAAUUUUUAGCUUAGGAUGAUUCACAAUCAUCCUUAGAUGAUUGUGACCGGAAGCUUUAAAGUAUCUUUGGAGGAUUUUCCUCCGAAGUUUUUUAUCCUAGGACGAUUUGUUUCUAUCUACGGAUGAUUGUGUUUAGAAGAUUUAAAGUUAUCUCAAGAGGAUUUUCUUCCAAAGAUUUUCAUACUUAGAAAGAUUUGUUUCUGUCCCUGGCUGACUAUGUUUGGAAGAUUUAAAGCAAUCUUAGGAGGAUUUUCUCCAAAGAUUUUCAUCCUAAGAUGAUUUGUUUCCAUCCUUAGAUGAUUAAAUUUGGAAGAUUUAAAGAUUAAAGCUUUAAAAUUUUGAAUUUUGGAAGUCUUUUCCAGAAAUUUCUAUUUAUAUCUAUUCCAUCAUUACUUGCCUUGAAAAUUGAUUUUUUUAAUUGGCUUAGAUUAUUUGCCUUCGUUAAUUAAGAUUUUACACCAAUAAUUACAUUAAUUGUAAAUCUUCUUUAAUUGGCUAAGAUCCUCUUCUUCUCCUAUAUAAUCCUCUUAGUUCGCAAUUAAGACUUUUGAAGAGAGAAACCGUAGCUUUGAGAGAGAGAAGCUCUCAAAUUUCCGAAGAGAGAGGGUGGUGAUUUGCAAUAUUUGACAACGGCACUCAGGGUGGCUAUUGACGAUUUUUCGAUGAUUUUUCAAUAGAUUUUGGUGACUUAUUUUGGCAAAUUUUAGGCAAUUUUCAAUGAGUUUUUUUAUUUACAUAUUUUAUUUAUUUUCUUAAAAUUUUUAUUUUACAUAUUUAAUAUAAUAAUGAUAGGUCUUUGGGACUUGGUUGAUUUGUCCUAGUUCAAGAAGAACUAGUGUUGAAGUAACCAAGCAUAAAAAUAUAAUGAUGGAUGAAUUUCAUUCGAUAACUAUUCACAUUGCUAUAAAUGAUGUUGCUAGUUGUGUGUUGAAAGAGGAGAUAUAUGAUGAUAGUAGCAUAUAUGCAGAUAAAGUAAUUAGAAGAAGUGAGAUUAUUGACUUAGGAAAUUAUGAGGAUGAGGAUGAGCUUGUGGUUAAAGAUCCCUAUUCAUGGCAGAUAAAGACGAUUAAAUGUGGAUUAAGCCAAAUGUACCUUGGGAUUUUAAUGAUAAGGUAUCAUAUUCCUAGGUCAAUCAUACUUUAUAGUGCUUGACUUAGGAAGAGUAUUACCAAUUCUCCUAAUGACUUUAUUGGGAUUACUAGUACGACUUCUAUUUCACCUUUAUAUUUAGAGGAUAUUACAUGCCAUAUGAUUUGCCCUCGCUCAGCGUACUUCUAAAGCUUAGCGUUGUAAGCUAAACAAUGGUAAGUCCUAUGGCAAGUAAUAUCCUCCUAAAGGGUGAAAUGGAAGCCGAACUCAAGAAUUUAACAUAUACUUAGUAAACCCAACAAACCCAUUAGGAGGAUUGUUGUUCCUCCUGAGUGAAGCAUGAUGAAGAGUGAUUGACCUAUGAAUGUUAUACCCAAUCAUCAAAAUCUCAAGAGACAUUUGGCCUAAUCCACAUUUAAUCGUUUUUAUCUGUCAUAGACAUGUAUCUUCAACUACAAGCUCAGCCUCAUCCUCAUAAUUUCCUAAGGCAAUAACAUCAAUUCUUCCUUUUACUUCAUCUGCAUAUGCACUAUUAUCUUCAACUAUCUCCUCUUAAAACUUACAAUUACCGAAAUUGCUUAUAGUAGCAUGAGUAGUUGUCUAAUGAACAUCAUCUAUCUCUAUAUUCUUAUCCUUGGCCAUUUUAACACUUGGUAAUCUUGAACUAAGCCAACCUACAAAGUGACAAAGACCUACAAAUACUCUCUUAAUUAUUUAAAAUUAAAAAUAAAUAAACAUAAAUAAAAAAUCACCAAAAAACUACCAGCGAAAUGCCGAAAAGUCAUCGAAAAAUUGUCACCAACCACGGUGAAUACCUUUGUCAAACAACAUGAACCACCACCUCUCUCUUUGGAAACUUGAGAGCUUCUUUUGCUAAAACAUAUGCUCUCUCUUGAAAAAUCUUAACUGAGAAAGAAUGGAAAAUGAGGAUUAUAUAAGAGAGGAAGAGAAUCUUAGUCAAUUAAAGAGGAUCUUAAAUAAAGAUAAUAAUUGGUGGAAAAUCUCAAUUACUAAAGGCAAAUAAUCCAAGCCAAUCAAAGAAGAUCAAUUUUGAAGGCAAAUAAUGAUGGAAUAGAUAUGAAUAAAAAGUUCUAGAAUAAACUUUCAAAAUUAUAAAUUUAAAAGCUUAAAUUUUAAAUCUUCCAAACACAAUUAUCCAAGGAUAGAAACAAAUCUUCCUAAGAUGAAAAUCUUUGGAGAAAAUCCUCUUAAAAUAGCUUUAAAUCUAUUAUCUAGGGAUGGAAUUAAAUUGUCCUACGAUAAAAAUCUUUAAAGGAAAGUUUUCCUGAAAUUGCUUUAAAUCUUCCAAGGAUAGAAGCAAAUCAUUAUAAGAAAAAAGGCCCUUGGAAAAAGUCCUCCUAGGAUAAAUAUCCUCGGAGAAAAAUCAACCUAGAAUACAAUCCCAGGAGAAAAAUCAAUAGAGAAAAUUUGUAAUACCUCAAUUCUCUUAAGGAUAUUUAAGUCUUUUUAGUUUAUUUUAGUGAUCUUUUUACCCUAGUAUAAAAAAAGUAAUAUGUCUUUCCCAUUAUAAGAGAGAGGGAGAGAGAAGUCGGCUGAGGAAAAGAAAAAGACAGAAAGGAAAAAAAAAAAGACAGAGGGUGAUGGAGAGAAAAGAGAGAAAAUAAAAGAAGAAGAAGAAGAAGAAAGUCUUCAUCUUAGUUCUGCCGUGAACAACACAUGAGAUCAAGUUGCGUCUUUUGAAUUGGAUAUUGUUGAGAGAAGAUUUGGAGGUAUGUUUUAAUUCUUAGUUUUCAUUAAUUUGUUAUGGAGAAGCAUGACUAAAUAUUUGCAAUAGAAGUAGAAACUUAAGAUUUUACAGGAAAUAUGCUGACAGUGCAUUAUUACGAAAAUCAUAACAAUUUGUACAAAUUGAUUUUUAUUAUGAUUUUUAGAUAUGUUAAACUAUACAUUGUCUAGAAUGUUUCGAAACUUGUUUUCAAAUCAUAUGCUGACAUAUUGAAAAUUCAUUGAUAAAAGUUUCAUAUUAGUAAAGUUUCAUAACUAUUGAAAUCAAUUUAUGUUUCAGGCAUCAUCAAUACUGUCAAGCAGUUUUUUAUUUUAAACAUGCUUGUUUUAAAAUUACAAAACAAUUUAUUGUUUUAUUAUAAAAUCAUGACAAUUUGUAGAAUCAUACUAUACAUUUAUAAAAAUCACUGGUCCAAAUGUCAUAAUUUUUGAAGAAGUCUAGUUAUGGUAAAAAAAAAUCUCGUAAUUCAUGUUCUUCACUGAAAUCAGAACUUUCUAGAUUUUUAGACUUGAGUUUGAAAAAUUGUAAUUAAUUGAACUCGUAUUCAAUUAGCUUGAAACAAGUUUCAAAACAUUUUAGACGAUGUAUAGUUUAACAUAUCCAAAAAUCAAAAUCAAAAUCAAUUUGUACAAAUUACUAUGAUUUUCCAAUAAUGCACUUUCAUCAUAUUUCCUGUAAAAUCUUAGGUUUUUACUUCUGUUGCAAAUAUCUAAUCAUGCUUAUCUAUAACAAAUUAAUGAAAACCAAAAAUAAAACAUACCUUCAAAUCUUCUCUCAACAAUAUCCAACUCAAAAGAUGCAACUUGAUCUCAUGUGUUGCUUACGACAGGACCAAGAAGAAGACUUUCUUCUUUUUCUUCUUCUCUUCUUUUCUUUUCUCUCUUUUCUUUUCCUUUCUAUCGUUUUUUUUCCUCAGCCGAACUGUCUCUUCCUCUCUCUUAUAAUGGGAAAGCCAUAUUAUUCUUUUUAUAAUAAGGUAAAAAGAUCACUAAAAUAAACUAAAAAGACUUAAAUACUGUUAGGAGAAUUGGGGUAUUACAAAAAUAUUCCUAGGAUAAAAUUCAUGGAUAAAAAAUCUUAGGUUAAAAUCCAACGAUAAAAAAUUUUAGAGAAAAUACUAGAGAUGGAAUCAUCCUCAUAAAAUAAACCUUCUAAUUAAAAACCCUAAGAUAAAAUCCUUAAAAGAAAAAGUCUCAAUGUGUUACUUUAAAAGUUUGGGACUUAGGGAGGAAACUAAUGAACUAAAACUAGAAUGCACCCAAUUAGAGCUUAAAUAAACAUGGUCCUAGAAAAGCCCAAGAAGAGAUUGAAAAAAACCCUUAAGAAACACAUCCUAAAUUCCUUGGUGGUUAGUUUCUUAGGUUCUAUGAUCUUUGGAUCCCAGGAUAGAUCACUUAGGAUUAGAGAUGGCCAGGUGACACAUUGCAUGGCACGAGCACAUUAUAUGUUUGUACAACAUGGUACGGCAAGCACAUGGGCUGGCCUAGGCUAAGAAUUUUAAGUACAUGGGUCUUAAAAGCACAGUAUGAUUAGAAAUGCUCUAAAGCACGACAUGUGAAAAUGUUCACAAUAAGUAAGUUUCAUUGGUGGGCUAGCAAGCAGCCUGUGAGCCGUCAAUAGUACCUCAGAUAAAGUAUAUUAGUAAAAUUUUUUAACGAAAAGUAAAUAUAAAUG